AUGAACGCUGGCGGCGUGCCUAAUACAUGCCAGUCGAGCGAACGGACGAGAAGCUUGCUUCUCUGAUGUUAGCGGCGGACGGGUGAGUAACACGUGGAUAACCUACCUAUAAGACUGGGAUAACUUCGGGAAACCGGAGCUAAUACCGGAUGAUAUUUUGAACCGCAUGGUUCAAAAGUGAAAGACGGUCUUGCUGUCACUUAUAGAUGGAUCCGCGCUGCACUAGCUAGUUGGUAAGGUAACGGCUUACCAAGGCAACGAUGCAUAGCCGACCUGAGAGGGUGAUCGGCCACACUGGAACUGAGACACGGUCCAGACUCCUACGGGAGGCAGCAGUAGGGAAUCUUCCGCAAUGGGCGAAAGCCUGACGGAGCAACGCCGCGUGAGUGAUGAAGGUCUUCGGAUCGUAAAACUCUGUUAUUAGGGAAGAACAUAUGUGUAAGUAACUGUGCACAUCUUGACGGUACCUAAUCAGAAAGCCACGGCUAACUACGUG
Molecule: ribosomal RNA, 496 nt
Filed under: uncultured bacterium
Lineage: Bacteria
Description: partial 16S ribosomal RNA
Rfam family: Bacterial small subunit ribosomal RNA
Source: RNAcentral